CCCAGCGGUAACAAAGAUUAAAACAGCACGCCUUUUUUUAUGCCUAAAACAAAAUAUGGCUUAAACUCCUACUGUUCCGAAAUUGAAGCAGCUUCGUGCAAGGACAAAAUAAUAUUAAAUUGCAACACAAGGACAAGUUGACUUUUUUUCUCAUAUGAUCAUUUCUUAGUUUCUUGCUUGCAAUCUCCCCCCUCUGGCAUCUGAAAUAUAUGCAUUACUCAGAGAACAUAUUGUUUAAAAGCCUUUAAUUCAUGCCUCUGUGCACAGUGCAUAACAAUAAGUUUUGUGUUAUCAUUUCUUACACAUCUGAUUAAAAAUUAAACACGUAGAGGCAAAUUUCAUAAAGUAUAAAAAUUUUAUUGUGUGUCUUUAUUUUCCUAAUAAGAUUACUAUUGGGAAGCAUUUUUAGGAUGGUCACGUAGCUAAUCUCAUCUUUUGAGUAACCUAGGAGACUACAUCCACACAAAUAUAUUGGUUCUCCAAUCUAGAAGGCAUUAAGAGUAACAAUUUAACAUUCCAAUUACACAUGCAUCAAAACAAUAUAAUUUAAAGUGAAACAUUUUUUAUUUACUAGUAUUUCAUCAACAUCCUUCUUUGGUUUGAAAUCAUGGUUUUUCAGUCACUUUCCUGAAAAAUGUUAAAGGGACACAUCAGGCACCUGUUAGGUGCAAUAUGUAGCUUAGGUUACAGUUAGUUACGCUGGUUGGUUUUUCUUCUUAAAUUUUGUUUAGUUAAAAAAAUAAAUCAUAAUAAUUAUUUGUUUUGAUCCGUAAGCUCACACUUUUUACCAGUUCCUCCCAGCAUGCAUUGCUUCCAUUUUCGUCCAAAAUACUACUGCUACAUGUAGUUGUGACAGUUGUUUCUGGGAAUUGUAGUUCAGCUUCUAGGUUUUGAACUGCAACUCCCAGAAACCCUUGCUGUGCCCACAACGCACUGAUUAUGGAACAAGCUACAGAAAGGUGAGUGAGCUAUGUCACUUCCAAGUUAGAAGAGAGCUCAAUGCAGACACUGGAACACUAAUGGUUUUGCCGCAAAAACUGGAGCUUCAAAUGUGAGUAUCUUCUUCAUUAUUUUUAUUUGUGAUUUUUCAUUGUUUAUACAUUAUCUGUAUACUAAAACAAAUACCUUGAAGUGUCUCCUUAAAUCUUUUAAUGAAUCAAUGGAACAAACGUGAAAUAUGGAAUAAUUUCUCCCAUGUGGCCAUCUUUAGGACCAAAAUCUAUUAUUAUUAACACAUAUUACAGCAACAUUUUCCUCAGCGCUUUACAAAUGUACAAUAGGGUUAUUUAACAUGUAAUUGACAAAUAUCAUUCAGCACGCACAAGAGGUGAAGACAGCCCUGCUCAAAUGAGUUUACGCUCUCAAAGAUUCUAUCCAUUUAUCCCUGUUUUUACGAACUCGGUAUAAAUCGAGUCUUUCACAGAAUUCUACAGAAAAAAAAUACUUAAUAUUAAAGAAUAUUUCAAACUAAAAUAAAGUUGUGUUUAAAUAAAGGAAUACAUUAUUUUGUUCUGCAUCACUCAUUUACCUUAGCUCAUCACAAAGUCCCUAAAAUAUUCUUCAGAUAUUCCCACCCUUUGGCCUAAAAAGUGUUCCUAUUUUGCAAGUUUAUCCUUGUGAAUUGAGUUAAGAACGAUCAGCCCUCUGCCAAUUCUUUGCUGUUUAUUUUUGUAUAUUAGUUAUUUUCUCAAAAUGAGUUGGUUGGAGAUGACCCACAAUAAGGAUAGCAAGGUCAAACAAUUCUUUGCCAAGCGAUCUGCUAUUGUCCCACAAGUUCAUGGGAGGUUCCAUAAUGCUUUACUCAAAUCCUUUCAACUCAUGUCCUGAUAUCUGAAGGUAUAGAUCUGUGGGAUAGAUUCUAGACCGGAGGGUGGGGUCUAUUCCUCUUUAAGAAAUGUUCUGGCUAAAUUAUAAGAAUUAGAUUUUGAUUUGAUAGAAACUCACUCAAACAUAGUAAAGAUUUUAUACUUGAAGUUGAUUUAAUAUACAAAAUGUAAAUAGAAUAUUAGAAAUAGUUGCCUUGACAAUGCACCCUCUACUAAAUUCUUCAUAGGCUAGGAUUGGGUAGGGAAAAAAAAAGUGGUGUUGGGCACUGGGUAUGUUAACGGAUGAAAAGUUAAAAGUUUUAUUUCAAAUGCAAAACCUUUUUUUUUUAUUAUUAUUUUUUUUAUAUAGUUUACAUUACAUGCCUCGCAUUCCUGGCACGGCCAGGGCAUACAAUGUAAAUUAGUUUAAACCCUGUAGUGUACAGCACAAUGUAAGGGGUGCCUGACUGCUUGUAUGCCUUUUCUGUAGAUGUCAGAGAACGAUGGUACCUAGAAUGAUAACGCCACCCUAAACACAGAAAUCUGGCAGAGGUAAUUGGAUUUUUUUUUAUUUUAUUUUUUUAACCUUACCUCAAUGCACUAUUCACCCCAGUAGAAGCUUCAGUGGAGUUUAAUGAGUGAGGGAAUGAGGAACUGUCACUUUCAGAGAUAAGAUAGAUAGAAUUUAAUUGCUACAUUGUCACUUACAGACUGUAAUAUCCCAAUCACAUGCAAUAUUCAGAAGAAGAAGAAAAAAAAGGCGAAUUUAAGAAUAUCAUUUUUAAGACUAAUGGAGUUGGUGCAUACACAGAGAUUAUUACAAUUUAAAAUGUUUAAUUAAUAAUUUAGUUUCGCUUUGAAUGUUACAAAAAAAUAUCGUCACCAGCAGCAGUAGCAGUAAAAAAUUUUGUCAAUCAUUUUCACACACUCACAUAUUGACCCGACACCGAGCAAGUGAUGCCAUAAAUACAGAGUUGCUCAGUAACUAAAUGAGACAAGUGGGGUCUCAAGGAAUGGCCAGAAUUCUGAUCUCAGCCAGUUCCUGGGUUCCGCACAGUAAUGUAUGAUCCCUAGAAAAAAACUGCAAAGAGGGAUAUGCAGUAGUAUAAUAUUUAUUUAUUUUUAAAUGUUAUUUUUAAAACACCUUUUAACCCCUUAAGGACACAUGACAUGUGUGACAUGUCAUGAUUCCCUUUUAUUCCAGAAGUUUGGUCCUUAAGGGGUUAAAGCAUGAUUUCUAUGUUAUAAAAUAAUAUAAUUUUUUUAACCUUCAGCGUGCAGCUCUCCAGAACAUAGCUCAGAGAAAAUCUUAAGUUAUUUUUUCUUCUAAUAUUUAUGUUGCACAUCAAAGCCUCGUCAUCAAAGCAAAGCUUGCAUAAAAACACAGAAUCAAGGGUAAAGAAAAAUGAUUCCCUGUGUUUACAGUCUCCUGCAGGAACAGAGCCAAUAUUAUAUAUGUUAAUUCCUUUUCUGUCGAAUUCAAGCACUAGUGGUAAACUGUCUGAAAUAGGCUCUUAAGACAAUAUAAGUGGGUCAACUUGGAACUACACUUGGGAAGCUGUGAAUAUUGAUUAAGCAGGAUGCAAAAUAUUUAUUCUGCAACUAUUACAGCAGUAUCCGCUCAAUACAGAUCGACCAGAUAACAGAGGGGUAGAAGGUGCAAAAUCAAUCUUGUAGGUCUGACUUGGUAAACACUAAAACAAUUAAGCAAAGUGUUUCUUUCUCAUCAUGAGAAAAAUAUACCUUUAGAUUGCUAGUAUAACAAUCACGUCUAUUCUUUGGUUAGCUGGAGUCUAGGUCAUACGGACAUCUUAUAAGAGGAAGAAGAAAGCCAUGUAAAUGUGAAAACAUCCCACAGCUCACUAAACUUGGCUGAACUACAAAUCCCAUGAUCUUCAGACACUCUGGAUGCGGCAACAGAGGUCCCUGGCAGUUGGUUGGCUGAGAAACAUAAGAGGUGUAAUUCACAAGCAGUUUGUGAUGCUGGUUAGCGCCCCCUGCUGCUAAGUAUUCCAGAUCUUCCUGAUACAGGCAUUUAUUUAAGUUACCUGGCUACUUUCUAUUUGUAAAAUGUAACAGACAAAGGGAAGUAUUUAAAUUCUAAUGAACUAUGGAAAAUCCACAAUAAAUAGCUACUCUGUUACAGAGUAAGUCUGGAGAAGAAUAUGCCGCAAUGCCAACGAGACACACUCAAGGGGGCACAAACUGUGUCUAGGGCUCUGUUGCGUUAUUUACCAACAAGAGAGCCUACAGUUCAGACUAGAACUCUCUACACAGGUGGAAAGUUCUAGGUGUGGAAAUAUAAGUGUGGGAGAUUUUCCAUCAGUUCCAUUAAUUCCUGAUUUACAUUUAACUUUGCUAUUACUUCUGUAGAACUGAAUUAUGUCAGUGUAUUUCUCAAGUGUACACUCAGGAUAAUUUAACUUAAAGGACCACUAUAGUGCCAGGAAAACAUACUCGUUUUCCUGGCACUAUAGUGCCCUGAGGGUGCCCCCACCCUCAGGGACCCCCUCCCGCCCGGCGCUGGGC
Pelobates cultripes (western spadefoot toad) is the source of this 4334-nucleotide non-coding RNA. The record is from the annotation of a GenBank genome assembly. NCBI's taxonomy places the organism in Eukaryota, Metazoa, Chordata, Amphibia, Anura, Pelobatidae.